RNAcentral lists this ribosomal RNA (767 nucleotides) under Faxonius virilis. RNAcentral's name for it is "SSU rRNA". It matches the Rfam family "Eukaryotic small subunit ribosomal RNA", at positions 1 to 745 of the family's 1831-position model. The record is from RNAcentral. Lineage: Eukaryota; Metazoa; Arthropoda; Malacostraca; Decapoda; Cambaridae.
ACCUGGUUGAUCCUGCCAGUAGUCAUAUGCUUGUCUCAAAGAUUAAGCCAUGCAUGUGUAAGUACAAGCCGAGUUAAGGCGAAACCGCGAAUGGCUCAUUAAAUCAGCUAUGUUUCAUUGGAUCUGUAAACCCACUUACUUGGAUAACUGUGGUAAUUCUAGAGCUAAUACAUGCAUCACGUCUCUGACCGCAAGGGAAGAGCGUCUUUUAUAGUUCAAACUGGUCCGGCCCCGGUCCGUUAACCCACCGUGGUGAAUCUGAAUAACUUUUGCUGAGCGCACGGUCUCCGCACCGGCGCCGCAUCCUUCAAGUGUCUGCCUUAUCAGCUUUCGAUUGUAGGUUAUGCGCCUACAAUGGCUAUAACGGGUAACGGGGAAGUCAGGGUUCGGAUUCCGGAGAGGGAGGCCUGAGAAACGGCUACCACAUCUAAGGAAGGCAGCAGGCACGCAAAUUACCCACUCCCGGCACGGGGAGGUAGUGACGAAAAAUAACGAUGCGAGACUCAUCCGAGGCCUCGCAAUCGGAAUGAGUACACUUUAAAUCCUUUAACGAGGAUCUAUUGGAGGGCAAGUCUGGUGCCAGCAGCCGCGGUAAUUCCAGCUCCAAUAGCGUAUAUUAAAGUUGUUAGCGGUUAAAAAGCUCGUAGUUGGAUCUCAGUUCCGGACUGACGGUACACCGCCUGGUGCUUACUGUCACGCUACCGAACAGCUAACCGUACGCCCCGCGCUCGCGACGGGUNCUCUCAUCGAGUCGUCCGAGUCGGCCG